CCAACGUGGAUACCCCGGGAGGUCACUCUCCCCGGGCUCUGUCCAGGUGGCGUAGGGAAGCACAGGGCUCUGCCCCUUGAUGAACAGUCCUUUUCCACAACGUUGGAGAUGAAGCCGGGCCUUGAGUCUGAGCCUGCAUGCUCUUACAGCUUCUCAGAGUCCUGUGGACAAUGACCGGGGAGAAAGACUAUGCAGGAAUCAGCU
This is a small nucleolar RNA of Camelus dromedarius (Arabian camel), 204 nucleotides long. Its record names the gene SNORA73. It matches the Rfam family "Small nucleolar RNA SNORA73 family". From Rfam's summary of the family: U17 (SNORA73A and SNORA73B) also known as E1 belongs to the H/ACA class of small nucleolar RNAs (snoRNAs). Vertebrate U17 is intron-encoded and ranges in length from 200-230 nucleotides, longer than most snoRNAs. Lineage: Eukaryota; Metazoa; Chordata; Mammalia; Artiodactyla; Camelidae. The record is from Ensembl.